AUCUCUGGCAGAAACUAAGCCCUGGGAAUGAGAGCUCCAAAAACUGAAAGCAGGAAAUCUCCUGGAAAUCAUUACACAACCCAGGACUGUUGCGACACAUCUGAGGUAUAAUAAACAAGGUGCUCGACAUACCAGCAAUACCAAUGCUCUGCCCUGCGUCACUGCCACCCACUUGCAGGAGACUUUUGUCUGUCCCCAAACCUCUUCUGAGCCUCAAGAGAUCCUGCUGAGAUCUCCAGGCUGAGAUCCUGCUCCAGUGUUAUCCUGGUCACCCAGCCCCAAGCUGCCACCGUCCUGGAGGGAGAGCCCUGGUUUCAGUCUGUGGGCUGACAGUGGAUUUCAGUGCAGACAUCAGGCAGCGCAGCUCUUCCCGCAUCAGCUCACACCUGCUCUGCAAAGCUGCUCUCCAUCCAACACACACAGCCUGUUUGCAAGCUCCGUGUAUGUUUGCAUAACCUCGGGUUUUUUUGGCCGGAAACCAGGCUUUUGGGAGGAUUUCUCAGGCUUUCAAAACCCAUCAUGGUGCUGGGGCUGUGAGUACGUGUGCUCUAACCACACAACGUGACAGGCAGGAGGAAGGAGCGGCGGCCGCGGGAGGGAAAGAUGGGUCUGUCCAAGCUGUGAAAGCAGACUUUCUGGGAUCACACCUUGCUUUUUUUCCUCUCCUCAGAGAUAUUUUCUUUCAAACAUCAUAAAAAUGUAUUGGAUAUUCUUUCAAGGAUGCCCAGGAGAGAGAGCAGAAGGAAAGGCAGCCUGCAGCGUGGCUCUGUGGAUAACUGAUUGCUUUGCUCAUUUUGGUCUGACCCAGAACAAAUAUGUUUCAUUUUUCCAAUGAGCUGGUAAAAAAAAUACAGUCCCCUUAUUUCUAGUUUACUUAGAGCUGUUUUUUUUUACUUUUCUUUUUUUUUAUUCUCUUCUUAAUGCAGGGCAAUUUCAGAACAAAAAACCAAAAUCAAGACUUGAAAAAUCACUUUUCAGGGUUUUCUUAUUCUUGUCAAUACGAUUUUCCCCGUUCAGCCUGAUUUCACAAACCAUUUACA
This 1040-nucleotide long non-coding RNA is filed under the name Junco hyemalis (dark-eyed junco). RNAcentral describes it as "lncRNA (ENSJHYG00000008632.1)". Lineage: Eukaryota; Metazoa; Chordata; Aves; Passeriformes; Passerellidae. The record is from RNAcentral.